This 497-nucleotide ribosomal RNA is filed under the name uncultured bacterium. RNAcentral describes it as "partial 16S ribosomal RNA". It matches the Rfam family "Bacterial small subunit ribosomal RNA", at positions 28 to 507 of the family's 1533-position model. The record is from RNAcentral.
GAUGAACGCUGGCGGCGUGCCUAAUACAUGCAAGUCGAGCGGACAGACAAUGAGCUUGUGCCUUUGACGUUAGCGGCGGGCGGGUGAGUAACACGUGGGUCAUGUACUUAUAAGACUGGUAUAACCCCGGGAAACCGGGGCUAAUCCCGGAUAACAUCUAGAACCGCAGGGUGCUAUAGAGAGUGACGGCUUUGGUGUCUCUUAUAGAUGGAUCCGGGCCGGAUGAGCUGGUAGGGAAGGUAACAGCCUAUCAAGGCGACGAGACGUAGCCGACGUGAGAGGCUGAUAGGCCACAUGGGAAGGGGAACACGGUCCAGGCGCCUACGGGAGGCAGCAGUAGGGAACGUUCGGCAAUGGGCGGAAGUCUGACGCAGCAACGCCGCGUGAGUGAUGACGACCUUGGGUUCGGAAUGCUCGGUUAUUGGGGAAGAACAGAUGUCGCCGUAGAUGAGGCCGUCUUGACGGUACUUAAUAAGGAAGCACCGGCUAACUACGUG